GACCUUUCCCGGGGGUGCCUAAUACAUGCAAGUCGAGCGGACAGAUGGGAGCUUGCUCCCUGUAUGUCAGCGGCGGACGGGUGAGUAACACGUGGGUAACCUGCCUGUAAGACUGGGAUAACUCCGGGAAACCGGGGCUAAUACCGGAUGCUUGAUUGAACCGCAUGGUUCAAUUAUAAAAGGUGGCUUUUAGCUACCACUUACAGAUGGACCCGCGGCGCAUUAGCUAGUUGGUGAGGUAACGGCUCACCAAGGCAACGAUGCGUAGCCAACCUGAGAGGGUGAUCGGCCACACUGGGACUGAAACACGGCCCAAACUCCUACGGGAGGCAGCAGUAGGGAAUCUUCCGCAAUGGACAAAAGUCUGACGGAGCAACGCCGCGUGAGUGAUGAAGGUUUUCGGAUCGUAAAACUCUGUUGUUAGGGAAAAACAAGUACCGUUCGAAUAGGGCGGUACCUUGACGGUACCUAACCAAAAAGCCACGGCUAACUACGUGCCAGCAGCCGCGGUAAUACGUAGGUGGCAAGCGUUGUCCGGAAUUAUUGGGCGUAAAGCGCGCGCAGGCGGUUUCUUAAGUCUGAUGUGAAAGCCCCCGGCUCAACCGGGGAGGGUCAUUGGAAACUGGGGAACUUGAGUGCAGAAGAGGAGAGUGGAAUUCCACGUGUAGCGGUGAAAUGCGUAGAGAUGUGGAGGAACACCAGUGGCGAAGGCGACUCUCUGGUCUGUAACUGACGCUGAGGCGCGAAAGCGUGGGGGAGCGAACAGGAUUAGAUACCCUGGUAGUCCACCGCCGUAAACGAUGAGUGCUAAGUGUUAGAGGGUUUCCGCCCUUUAGUGCUGCAGCAAACGCAUUAAGCACUCCGCCUGGGGAGUACGGUCGCAAGACUGAAACUCAAAGGAAUUGACGGGGGCCCGCACAAGCGGUGGAGCAUGUGGUUUAAUUCGAAGCAACGCGAAGAACCUUACCAGGUCUUGACAUCCUCUGACAACCCUAGAAGAAUAGGGCUUCCACUUCGAGGGCAGAGUGACAGGUGGUGCCAUGGUUGUCGUCAGCUCGUGUCGUGAGAUGUUGGGUUAAGUCCCGCAACGAGCGCAACCCUUGAUCUUAGUUGCCAGCAUUCAGUUGGGCACUCUA
RNAcentral lists this ribosomal RNA (1136 nucleotides) under Bacillus subtilis. RNAcentral describes it as "bacterial SSU rRNA". It matches the Rfam family "Bacterial small subunit ribosomal RNA", at positions 31 to 1142 of the family's 1533-position model. Lineage: Bacteria; Bacillati; Bacillota; Bacilli; Caryophanales; Bacillaceae. The record is from RNAcentral.